CAAACCGUGAAAUUUGGCUAGAAACACAGGGUUGUGAAAAGGGAGUAGUAGCCAGAAAAAUAAUUUGGUAUCUUAACAGAAGGCUCUGAAUGGCCAGUCAAGUUAUUUGGACCUUAUUCAUUUAUUCAUUCAGUGAAUAUUUAUUAAGCAUUCAUUCUGUGUCAGGAGCUGUUUGGAGGAAUGAAAACUCAGCGUUAAACAAGACAAGGGUAGAGAGAAAAAAAUCAACAAGGAAACCACAAGAAAAUAUCAGGUGGUGGAAGGAAGACUGCAGAUGCUAUACGGAAGAAUAAUAAAGCAUUGCUGUGGCUUUGAGGAGGCUGCUCUCUGGAAGCGAGUCCACGGGUGCUGGGAAAAUCAUAACCUGAGAAUCAAGUACCAUCUUGUCUGAAAAUCAUUUCCACCCUGGUGCUCUAGCCCAUUUUUCUAGAGCUCACCUUCUGGACCCAGCCUCAUCUCUUCCAGUGUGCUUUUUCUCCAAGAUUCCUUGUCCUUCGAUGAGUUGUGCAAGCUGCUAUCCCAAAUCUGAUUUUUCAGAAUCUUAAAAUAAACUCUGUUUUCAAACACAGUUUCAAGUCAAUUCCUUUUUAUAUACCUUGAUGUACAGUGAUAGAUAGAAAUAGUUUCAAAGUGGCAAUUCCUCAAGGAUCCAGAACUAGAAAUACCAUUUGACCCAGAAAUCCCAUUAUUGGGUAUAUACUCAAAGGAUUAUAAAACAUUCAAUUAUAAAGAUACAUGCACAUGUAUGUUUAUUGCUGCACUGUUUACAAUAGCAAAGACUUGGAACCAACCCAAAUGCCCAUCAACGAUAGACUACAUAAAGAAAAUGUGGCACAUAUACAUCAUGGAAUACUAUGCAGCCAUAAAAAAGGAUGAGUUCAUGUGCAUUGCAGGGACAUGGAUGAAGCUGGAAACUUCAUUCUUAGCAAACUGACACAAGAACAGAAAACCAAACACCGCAUGUUCUCAUAAGUCAGUGUUGAAUAAUGAGAACACAUGGACACAGGGAGGGCAACAUCACACACCAGGACCUGUUGGGGGGUGGGGGGGCUAGGGGAGGGAUUGAGGAGGCAUAGUAUUAUGGGAAAUUCCUAAUGCAGAUGACAGGAGGAUGAAUGCAGCAAACCACCAUGGCAUGUGUAUACCUAUGUAACAAACCUGCACAAUCUGCACAUGUACCCCAGAACUUAAAGUA
This 1195-nucleotide long non-coding RNA is filed under the name Callithrix jacchus (white-tufted-ear marmoset). RNAcentral describes it as "lncRNA (ENSCJAG00000071300.1)". The record is from RNAcentral. Lineage: Eukaryota; Metazoa; Chordata; Mammalia; Primates; Cebidae.